RNAcentral lists this long non-coding RNA (714 nucleotides) under Homo sapiens (human). RNAcentral's name for it is "HSALNT0393058". Lineage: Eukaryota; Metazoa; Chordata; Mammalia; Primates; Hominidae. The record is from RNAcentral.
AGAGAGGCUUGCAGGUCCAAACCACUGGUAGCAGCCCCUGGUAUAUCCAGGACAUCAGCACAUAGAACCAGUGAAAGGGUCCUCCCUCAUAGUGACGCAUGUCAUAGACUCAGAUUUAUACAAACAAAUGCUGAGCAAACCAUGAAGAGUCUCUGGUAUUUUCAACAAUAUCAUCACAGAGGAACUGUAUUGAUUUCCUUGCACGUUCAGGGUACUGGGAGAGGCAACAGGGAUGGAGGUCCCAUGUCAGGGGACUUCACAGUGUGACGGGAAUGUUCAACCUGCACCUGUUCCUUGCACCAUACUCCAUCCAGCUCUCCGCUCUUCCAGUCAUUUAUGCUCCUGUCUUCCGUGGAGGAAGUCUGGUAGUAUCUCCCCGGGACACUGGCUCAAAUUUCCAGCCACCUGCCCAAGACAGAUGGGACCAGGGGCCAGAUGAUGUGGACAAUGAUGAUGUCACAAAGAGAAGUAAGAAAUAAAGGAGGCAACUUAGUGGGAAAGGUGAUGUUCUGGGUUCUGAAGAAGAUGAGAGAUACCAGGCCAGGCUGUGCUUUGCCUCUUGGCCUAUUUUCCUUCCUGACUUUUUUCAGCCACAGUGAGUCUCUGAGACCUAGUUUUGGCAGAAGGAAGUACCAGAGGGAGCUGAGCUGUUGAACAUUAUGUGCGAUCAUGUAAUAACUGCAAUCGGAAGGGAAACACUCAGAGUCCUGGAGA